GAAGGUCCUCUGGAUUGUAAACUUCUUUUAUUUGGGAAGAAAUCUAUCUUUUCUUGGAUAGUUGACGGUACCAGAUGAAUAAGCACCGGCUAACUCCGUGCCAGCAGCCGCGGUAAGUACGGAGGGUGCAAGCGUUAUCCGGAUUCACUGGGUUUAAAGGGUGCGUAGGUGGGCAAGUAAGUCAGUGGUGAAAUCUCCGGGCUUAACCCGGAAACUGCCAUUGAUACUAUUUGUCUUGAAUACUGUGGAGGUCAGCAGAAUAUGUCAUGUAGCGGUAGAAAUGCUUAGAUAUGACAUAGAACACCAAUUGCGAAGGCAGCUGGCUACACAAAUAUUGACACUGAGGCACGAAAGCGUGGGGAUCAAACAGGAUUAGAUACCCUGGUAGUCCACGCCCUAAACUAUGGAUACUCGACAUUUGCGAUAAACUGCAAGUGUCUGAGCGAAAGCAUUAAGUAUCCCACCUGGGAAGUACGAUCGCAAGAUUAG
RNAcentral lists this ribosomal RNA (489 nucleotides) under uncultured Bacteroidota bacterium. Its description in RNAcentral is "bacterial SSU rRNA". It matches the Rfam family "Bacterial small subunit ribosomal RNA", at positions 410 to 897 of the family's 1533-position model. Lineage: Bacteria; Pseudomonadati; Bacteroidota. The record is from RNAcentral.